Molecule: ribosomal RNA, 449 nt
Filed under: uncultured bacterium
Lineage: Bacteria
Description: bacterial SSU rRNA
Rfam family: Bacterial small subunit ribosomal RNA
Source: RNAcentral
GUGGGGAAUAUUGGACAAUGGGCGAAAGCCUGAUCCAGCGACGCCGCGUGGGUGAAGAAGGCCUUCGGGUUGUAAAGCCCUUUAAGCCGGGACGAAAAAGCUACACCUAACACGUGUGGCCUUGACGGUACCGGAAGAAUAAGCACCGGCUAACUCUGUGCCAGCAGCCGCGGUAAUACAGAGGGUGCGAGCGUUAAUCGGAUUUACUGGGCGUAAAGCGUGUGUAGGUGGCCGCGUAAGUCGGUUGUGAAAUCCCUGGGCUCAACCUGGGAAUUGCAGCCGAUACUGCAUGGCUCGAGUUCGGUAGAGGGCGGCGGAAUUCCCGGUGUAGCGGUGAAAUGCGUAGAUAUCGGGAGGAACAUCGAUGGCGAAAGCAACCGCCUGGGCCUGAACUGACACUGAGACACGAAAGCGUGGGGAGCAAACAGGAUUAGAAACCCCUGUAGUCC